CACAAGGGGUGAAGCUUGCGGUUCAAUUGGAGUCAACGCCAGAAAUCUUACCCGGAGAGACAGCAGAAUGAAGGUCAAGCUGAAGACUUUACCAGACAAGCUGAGAGGUGGUGCAUGGCCGUCGCCAGCUCGUGCCGUGAGAUGUCCUGUUAAGUCAGGUAACGAGCGAGAUCCCUGCCUCUAGUUGCCACCAUUACUCUCAGGAGUAGUGGGGCGAAUUAGCGGGACCGCCGCAGUUAAUGCGGAGGAAGGAAGGGGCCACGGCAGGUCAGUAUGCCCCGAAACUCUGGGGCCACACGCGGGCUGCAAUGGUAACGACAAUUGGUUUCGAAUCCGAAAGGAUGAGGUAAUCCUCAAACGUUACCACAGUUAUGACUGAGGGCUGCAACUCGCCCUCACGAAUAUGGAAUCCCUAGUAACUGCGUGUCAUUAUCGCGCGGUGAAUACGUCCCUGCUCCUUGCACACACCGCCCGUCGUUUCAUUGAAGUGAGCUUUUAGCGAGGUGACGUCUAAUUGGCGUUAUCGAACUUGAGGUUCGUGACAAGGGAAAAGUCGUAACAAGGUGACCGUAGGGGAACCUGCGGUCGGAUCACCUCCUU
RNAcentral lists this ribosomal RNA (600 nucleotides) under uncultured marine crenarchaeote. RNAcentral describes it as "bacterial SSU rRNA". It matches the Rfam family "Archaeal small subunit ribosomal RNA", at positions 880 to 1478 of the family's 1478-position model. The record is from RNAcentral. Lineage: Archaea; Thermoproteati; Thermoproteota.